GACGAACGCUGGCGGCGUGCUUAACACAUGCAAGUCGAACGGAAAGGCCCUGCUUUUGUGGGGUGCUCGAGUGGCGAACGGGUGAGUAACACGUGAGUAACCUGCCCUUGACUUUGGGAUAACUUCAGGAAACUGGGGCUAAUACCGGAUAGGAGCUCCUGCUGCAUGGUGGGGGUUGGAAAGUUUCGGCGGUUGGGGAUGGACUCGCGGCUUAUCAGCUCGUUGGUGGGGUAGUGGCUUACCAAGGCUUUGACGGGUAGCCGGCCUGAGAGGGUGACCGGCCACAUUGGGACUGGGAUACGGCCCAGACUCCUACGGGAGGCAGCAGUGGGGAAUAUUGCACAAUGGGCGGAAGCCUGAUGCAGCAACGCCGCGUGCGGGAUGACGGCCUUCGGGUUGUAAACCGCUUUCGCCUGUGACGAAGCGUGAGUGACGGUAAUGGGGAAAGAAGCACCGGCGAACUACGU
This 467-nucleotide ribosomal RNA is filed under the name uncultured bacterium. RNAcentral's name for it is "partial 16S ribosomal RNA". It matches the Rfam family "Bacterial small subunit ribosomal RNA", at positions 28 to 506 of the family's 1533-position model. The record is from RNAcentral.